CAUGGUUGUCGUCAGCUCGUGUCGUGAGAUGUUGGGUUAAGUCCCGCAACCGAGCGCAACCCUCGUCCUAUGUUGCCAGCGGGUCAUGCCGGGGACUCAUGGGAGACUGCCGGGGUCAACUCGGAGGAAGGUGGGGAUGACGUCAAAUCAUCAUGCCCCUUAUGUCUUGGGCUUCACGCAUGCUACAAUGGCCGGUACAAAGGGCUGCGAUACCGCGAGGUGGAGCGAAUCCCAAAAAGCCGGUCUCAGUUCGGAUUGGGGUCUGCAACUCGACCCCAUGAAGUCGGAGUCGCUAGUAAUCGCAGAUCAGCAACGCUGCGGUGAAUACGUUCCCGGGCCUU
Molecule: ribosomal RNA, 341 nt
Filed under: uncultured Cellulomonas sp.
Lineage: Bacteria; Bacillati; Actinomycetota; Actinomycetes; Micrococcales; Cellulomonadaceae
Description: bacterial SSU rRNA
Rfam family: Bacterial small subunit ribosomal RNA
Source: RNAcentral